RNAcentral lists this unclassified non-coding RNA (331 nucleotides) under soil metagenome. RNAcentral describes it as "partial contains 5.8S ribosomal RNA, internal transcribed spacer 2, and large subunit ribosomal RNA". The stretch from base 1 to 120 matches the Rfam family "5.8S ribosomal RNA", at positions 35 to 154 of the family's 154-position model. The record is from RNAcentral.
GAUGAAGAACGUAGCGAAAUGCGAUAAGUAAUGUGAAUUGCAGAAUUCAGUGAAUCAUCGAACCUUUGAACGCACAUUGCGCCCGCCAGUAUUCUGGCGGGCAUGCCUGUUCGAGCGUCAUUUCAACCAUCAAGCCCCAGGCUUGUGUUGGAGCCCUGCGGCUGCCGCAGCCUCCCAAAACCAGUGGCGGGCUCGCUAUCACACCGAGUGCAGUAGUUUACUCUUCGCUCAGGGCGUGUGGCGGGUGCUAGCCGUAAAACCCCCAACUUCUCAAGGUUGACCUCGGAUCAGGUAGGAAUACCCGCUGAACUUAAGCAUAUCAAGCGGAGGA